Molecule: ribosomal RNA, 449 nt
Filed under: uncultured bacterium
Lineage: Bacteria
Description: partial 16S ribosomal RNA
Rfam family: Bacterial small subunit ribosomal RNA
Source: RNAcentral
AACGAACGCUGGCGGCAGGCUUAACACAUGCAAGUCGAGCGCAUCCUUCGGGGCGAGCGGCAGACGGGUGAGUAACGCGCGGGAACGUACCCUUUCUUACGGAAUAGCUCCGGGAAACUGGAAGGAAUACAGUAUACGCCCUUAGGGGGAAAGAUUUAUCGGGGAAGGAUCGGCCCGCGUUGGAUUAGCUAGUUGGUGGGGUAAAGGCCGACCAAGGCGACGAUCCAUAGCUGGUCUGAGAGGAUGAUCAGCCACAUUGGGACUGAGACACGGCCCAAACUCCUACGGGAGGCAGCAGUGGGGAAUAUUGGACAAUGGGCGCAAGCCUGAUCCAGCCAUGCCGCGUGAGUGAUGAAGGCCUUAGGGUUGUAAAGCUCUUUCAGUAGGGAAGAUAAUGUCGGUACCUACAGAAAAAGCCCCGGCUAACUUCGUGCCAGCAGCCGCAGUAA